Molecule: transfer RNA, 73 nt
Filed under: Wohlfahrtiimonas chitiniclastica SH04
Lineage: Bacteria; Pseudomonadati; Pseudomonadota; Gammaproteobacteria; Cardiobacteriales; Ignatzschineriaceae
Rfam family: tRNA
About the family: Transfer RNA (tRNA) molecules are approximately 80 nucleotides in length. Their secondary structure includes four short double-helical elements and three loops (D, anti-codon, and T loops). Further hydrogen bonds mediate the characteristic L-shaped molecular structure. tRNAs have two regions of fundamental functional importance: the anti-codon, which is responsible for specific mRNA codon recognition, and the 3' end, to which the tRNAs corresponding amino acid is attached (by aminoacyl-tRNA synthetases). tRNAs cope with the degeneracy of the genetic code in two manners: having more than one tRNA (with a specific anti-codon) for a particular amino acid; and 'wobble' base-pairing, i.e. permitting non-standard base-pairing at the 3rd anti-codon position.
Source: Rfam by way of RNAcentral
GCUCAUAUAGCUCAGUUGGUAGAGCACACCCUUGGUAAGGGUGAGGUCGCCAGUUCGAUUCCGGCUAUGAGCA